CCUACGGGAGGCAGCAGUGGGGAAUCUUGCGCAAUGGGCGAAAGCCUGACGCAGCCAUGCCGCGUGAAUGAUGAAGGUCUUAGGAUUGUAAAAUUCUUUCACCGGGGACGAUAAUGACGGUACCCGGAGAAGAAGCCCCGGCUAACUUCGUGCCAGCAGCCGCGGUAAUACGAAGGGGGCUAGCGUUGCUCGGAAUUACUGGGCGUAAAGGGAGCGUAGGCGGAUAGUUUAGUCAGAGGUGAAAGCCCAGGGCUCAACCUUGGAAUUGCCUUUGAUACUGGCUAUCUUGAGUACGGAAGAGGUAUGUGGAACUCCGAGUGUAGAGGUGAAAUUCGUAGAUAUUCGGAAGAACACCAGUGGCGAAGGCGACAUACUGGUCCGUUACUGACGCUGAGGCUCGAAAGCGUGGGGAGCAAACAGGAUUAGAUACCCUGGUAGUCCACGCUGUAAACGAUGAGUGCUAGUUGUCGGCANGCAUNCAUGUCGGUGACGCAGCUAACGACAUAAGUACACUCCGCCGUCGGGGAGGGUACGGUCGGCGAAGAAGUUAAAACUUAACUAAAGUUAAGUUAAGUUAGUUACGGCGUGAGAGCGCGACGGACGACGACGAGGGAGGAGG
RNAcentral lists this ribosomal RNA (619 nucleotides) under uncultured bacterium. RNAcentral describes it as "bacterial SSU rRNA". The stretch from base 1 to 519 matches the Rfam family "Bacterial small subunit ribosomal RNA", at positions 338 to 873 of the family's 1533-position model. The record is from RNAcentral.